RNAcentral lists this long non-coding RNA (319 nucleotides) under Amborella trichopoda. RNAcentral's name for it is "long non-coding RNA (ATRI_LNC003914)". Lineage: Eukaryota; Viridiplantae; Streptophyta; Magnoliopsida; Amborellales; Amborellaceae. The record is from RNAcentral.
GGAUAGGGAUCCGUUUUGUGCAACGGAACUAUACGGAGCAAAUUGAAAGGCACAACCUGAGGAUCAAGACCACUAUUCAUUUCCCAGUCCCAUUUCUGGGCUUUGGUUAUAUAUCGACCAAAUGAAAGUGAGUGAACAGGGCUAAGCAUUGAAUGAACUGCCUUCCUCGGCCGGGCUAGCAACGUGGAACCGAGGGGAAGAAAUGAGCUAUGUAUCCAGCUGGCUACGGACUCGCUAACGAGAAAGGCGGCUAGAAAGAGUUAUCUAGACUGGAGGCUAAUCGGAGGCUAACUCGCCCAUGUAUGGUUGACUGUCCCCC